Odontomachus brunneus is the source of this 3870-nucleotide long non-coding RNA. RefSeq lists it as uncharacterized. Lineage: Eukaryota; Metazoa; Arthropoda; Insecta; Hymenoptera; Formicidae. The transcript has 4 exons. The record is from RefSeq and is a predicted model, not a curated record.
CGCGCGCAUGAUUUCAAAUUAGUUGGACAUAUUACAGUAAUGGUCGAUCGGUCGGUCGGUUGCGGACGUGUGGCUUACGCGGAUACGCGGGAAAAACACGAGAAUCGUCGGAAUAUGCACGACGCAAGCGAAAGAAGAGGUCCUCUGAACUUGGAACGACGAUGGAUUGCCUUCGCGUAUGUUCGUGCAGCGACGAAUGACACGUUGAAUCAAGAGCAAAUCCGAGUAUGCCCGACGAGCAUUCAAAAAAAUGAUCUUGUGGUUAGCAAAAAUUAUCUAGACACGAGAAAUUUCUAUCUGAACUGUUUAUGAAAUUUAGCGAGAAGAUCUCUCCGUGACGCUCAUCCAGAUUAGGGCCAAGCACACUUCUUAUACUGCUAGAAUGCUGCUGGACCAGCAAAACAUUUUUUUGAGUCGAGCAAGCGAGAAAGAAGCACGUAGCCCGAGGGUGUCGAUCGACGGGUGUUUUCCGAUCUCUAAAGCGCGCUAACAAGGAACUUUGAUACUGCGUGGAUCAGUCUUACGAUUCGCAUCGCAUUGCGCGACACCGACGCAGAUCGUCGACGAGGGGCUUGUUUCCUCUCGACGAAAAACUGCAACAAAUCAUCGCCACCGGUGUCGCCGACACGGUCACGUUCCUAGAAUUCCUCACGACGCUUCUGCCACGACCUCGUCUGCGUGCCGGCCGUCCCGAGACUUUAAUUUUGGAUUAGAAGCGCGAGAGGAUAAAGCGCGGGAAUGAAACGCUCAGCUCGGAAAGAUUACGAAAGAAAGAGAAUCUCUUUCGAUUGCGGGUCUUAUUUUGCGCUCUCGCGCGAAACCCGAGGCGAGGAGGUUAUUCUCCCUCUCGCUCGAUUAUAUUUGCGCCUCUGUGUUGCAAAUAAUAUCGCCGGAUCUUACGUAAAGUUUUUCAGUUUAUGACACAUCGCGUUGGAAACGCGCACCGCGAGAAAUUCGCACGACGAUGACGAAUCGACGUCGCUGCUGCCCAACGACUCGAGACUCAAAGUUUAUUUUUUACGCGCAAUUGAGAUACAAAAGUAGUCGGUCUCUCUACUGCUAAAUUAACGACACGUGAAUAUAAUGCGCAUAAAUUAUGCGUCGCAUUAAUAAUACCGUCCCAAGUAGAAAAUCCCUUGGGAUUUAUUUGGCUUUCAAUCCGACUCCCUCAAAUUAAUUAUGCGGGUUUUCUCUAUAGUGUCUUCAGAAAUGUCAACACGCAACUCCAAGUGGGAAAACGUAAAGCUUCCUCAAUAUUUUUUCCCUAAUCCUCAUUAUAUACAUUAAGAUUGAAUAAAACAUAUUGCCUCUCAAAAGUAAUUCCAUCAUUCAAUAAAACACUCAAAGUGUUUAGAAAAUACAUAUUUUUAAUAAUUUUUAUUAUUUUUUAAGUAUUAUUUUUAAGUAUAAAUAUAACAUAAAAAUGGAAUUUUCAGUUUAAUAUCAUCAAAGCAAUAAAAGUAUGCCAACGUUAACGGCUGAAAAAAAGCGCAAAUUCCCAUAGUAUUUCUGUCUCGACUCUAGAUAGAGAGCCAUGCUUGGGACAAGGAUUCUCCCAAUUGGUCUCGUAAUAACAAAUGCUGGGAUUUGAGUAUUCCAAUCGGCAUUUAUGCUAUAUCUGGCGGAAUCUAAGGAAAUUUCUAUGCAGGGUGAUUUGCGUGUCGCGUGACUAUUGGCGCGGGCGCGCGCCAUGCAAUUUUACGUAUCAUAAUGACGACUUCCUCGGUGCCGAUGUACAAGAUACAGGCGGUCAAUACGCCGUAAUGAAAUAUCGACAUUUUGCAUCGACAUUUUUCGCAAACGCUAAUAACGGCGCUGUACCUUUGCGCGGCACAGUCGUCGAUAACACUCGGUGUCGGAGAAAGGAUGAGGAUAAUUACAGACGUCUAAUUGCCGUCGCUCGCGGCGACCCGCGGAGGACGCGUCGACGGCGAGUCCGCACGAUCGUCGAAAUUACAGAAAGAAACGAUAAAGCGGCCGUGUUAUUACAUUUUCCGCGUGGCUGUAGAUACGAUGUGCGCGCGAAAUGUCUCGAAUUACGUCGCGGCCAGUCGUAAUCGGGACUCGCUAUCGCGGCUUGUCCGUGAUUUCAGAAUGGUUCUCCGGAAUUACUGCUUCCGGCCGUCCGACAGUUGUCGAAUGUAACGCGAGCAGCUUUCGAAGGAGGAGAUAAAAACAAAACUAGGGAGAUAGAAACAUAGAGAGAAAUUCGUAAGAGCAGAGGAACGCGUUCGGAAGCUGAAGAGGAUUAGGCAGCGCGGUGUCGAAAUAGUCACGACAAACGUGACAUAAUCGGUGUCUGGAACUAGUCGUCUCGUCGUCGUCGUUGUCAAAAAAAGUCCUCUGUCAGAAACAAAUUAUCAGAACAAGAGCACGUUUGCUGUUUAACUAUCGUCAAUGAAACAAAUCGAACAGUAAAGCUCGAUCUACAAUGUGUUAUUUGCUUCUUGUUUCUUUUUCUUUAUCUUUUUCUGACUCACACCUUAUCUAUAAUGUGUUAUUUGCCUCCUGUUAUUUUUUUCUUUAUCUCUUUCUGAUUCAAACCUUAAAUUAAAAAAAGACAGAAAACAAGAAACAGGAAGCAAAGAACACAUUGUAGAUCAGGCUUUAAGCCUUACACUAAAACAAGACAGAAAACAAGAAACAGAAAACAAAGAACACAUUGUAGAUUAAACUUAAGGACUAUCGUACACAAAAUAGCUGCAUGUGCAUAACAUAAGAUCAUCUCAAGCAAUGAGCAUGUUCUGCAAAUCAAUAUGGCAACUUUUUCUUAAAUGUUCAUUGGUCAAGGCUACGACCUAAGGGCCAUCGCACACAAAAUGACAGUUGCAUAUGUAUAGCAUAAUUUAGAGAAAAGUUGUCAUAUUGAUUUCUAAAACAUGCUCAUUGAUUGAGACAGUCUUGUGUUUAUCUGGCUUAUCCUCGCAAAUAAUUUCAUAUCACUUGUCACUUUAGCAAACAUAUAUUGUCUGAGACACAAAUCAUAUUUGUCUUCGUCUAUUUAGAUUGAAUUUUAGGCUAGAUUAGUUAUAUCUUCAUUACAAAAUGCUGUUACAUAAAACAGCAAAUUGAAAGUAACAAACCAUUUAUUCCCUCUAUGUUGAGAAGAAAAAUAUCUAAGAAAUAGUGAAUAUUUAUUCAGUGAGUAUAUCAUAACAGCAUAUUUACUUAUAUUCAUAUAAAAUUUUUCAAAUAAGAAAAUACACAUUUCCUGAACAUCUUAAGCAAAAUCUUAAUUUUUAUCAUAAAAUACUAUUACUUAUUCCAUUUAAAUAAAAGAAUUUAGAUUUAAGCAAAUGUGCUACUAAUGCCCAUAAAUAUUUCGCAAUUUUUAGGUAUUUUUCUCUCAAUGUACGAUGUGUCAUUUACUGUUCCGUCUCGACCAAUCAUUUGUCGCGGGUACUGGCAUUUUGUUAAAUUAGCGAAACUUUUUCCUCUCUCUCGGUGCGCGAUUCGCCGCCGGCAGAUUUCUUGCUCGUCAUACCGGAUUUCCAGACAGCCAGCCGCGAUGUCAAGAUCGGAGACGGCGAAGAGACGAAGACGACGGCCACUUACAAUCUGCCGAGCCGAUCGGCGGCCCGGAUGUUCCGUUAUCCGGCGACGUGGUCCGAGUGUCUCGGCGUUUCUUUCGCCGAUAUUACUAUGCGAUAUUGCCGGUGCGGCGCUGUGUACCGCGCGGACCGCCGCGGAGAUAAGAUCUCGUCUCGCGGGAGGCUUUCGUCCGACGCCAGCUGACUCGUGCGAGAAUCGCGAAUCGAAUCCGGCGACGACCGGCUGGAAAUCGCCGCCGCGUACGCGCCAAAUACGGAACUGGGUUAGCAGCCGCAUCGCGUCUCUCUCUCUCUCUCUCUCUCUCUCUCUCUCUCUCUC